Non-coding RNA from Danio rerio (zebrafish), 1774 nucleotides. Lineage: Eukaryota; Metazoa; Chordata; Actinopteri; Cypriniformes; Danionidae. The record is from RefSeq and is a predicted model, not a curated record.
AUAAUUAGGAAAAAGAAGAGGGGAAAAAACAUAUAUAGUUAUUCAUAUUACACAUGAACAUGUAUACUUGUGUAAAGUGUAUAUACAUUAAUCAUAACUCAAAAAUCAGUGUAUAAAAUUACUAUUCUAUACUAAUAUACUAUUCUAAAUUACUAAGUCUAUUCUAAAGGUUUUAUGUUUUUAAAUUGUUUUAAUAUAAUGUAUACAUAAACAUGUCUGUGAUAUAUUGUUUGCAGAUGAUUUUAUUAAGAUUAAGUAGUAGGCUUACUAUAGACAGUGAACGUUGGCAGCUUGAUUUUACAAACUGAUAGUUUGUAGACGGUCCCUCAAAAAAGCGAUGACGUCACCUCCUUCAUAGAGGUAAGCGUGUUUUUCUACUCCUUUAAAACGCUGAGUUUGACAGAAAAGUGUGGCGUACAUUUUGCUCAUAAUCGACUACAACGUGACAAUGAAGAUUGAGGAUGUUUCAUCUUUACAUCGUGGCAGAUGGUAAAUGAUGGCAAGUCCACAUUUGUUUCAGAGCAGAGACAGCGUUGCAGAUGGACAAGAGCGUAAAAGCUUUAUUAAGCAUCCAACCUCAUGUUUCUGCAUAUUGUGCAGCAGUGGGGGUCAGCUUAAUCAAUUUAGUCAACUAAAACAAAACAGGACAGCAGGAAGGAUAAAACUGGAAACUGCGAAGUGUUAUUUAUCCUGAAAAGCCAUUCUUGGUGUCAUGCAGUACUAUAAACAAGCUGUAUCAUUCUCCCCAUGAAACACUUUUACAAUCACGCUGCACACCCGUAAAGAUAUCCUCUCUCUCGCAGCAUCAAUGAGAUUAAAGUACAAGAAUGAAGAGAUCUUUAGUAGAGAUCAAGUCACACAGCAGCGCCACAAGAAACUUUAUUCCUUGUUGGGCUGGUUUGUUCCUGCACUGUCAUUCUGGUUCAAAGAAUCAACAGUAGACAGUGUGGAUUUCUUAGAUGAAGACUGGAGAAACACAGAGAAAAUACAACAUAACCCAGUCUUAAAGAAGAGAGUUCUACUUUUUUUCACGUUUCAGUAGAUCACACAGUCAGGCUCAGUGGCCGGAGCCAGGACUCCUGUUUGCUCAUUGUUCAUUCCAGUGAUCAUGACACAGCUAAUAGAGGCCGGAUUAGUGUGCAGGAACAGAGUAGGCAAACACACAGAGACUAAUGAUGGAGACCAGCCAGUCUGCAAUGCUUUCUCGUACUCUAACACCACCUCUGUGGUGUAUUUCAGCAUUAUGGUGUUGGUAUGCCCUAAGUAAGUAUAUACUGUAUAGUCUUUUAUUUGUUGCUUUAUGAUGUAUUAAUGUGCUUUUUAUUAACGCUUGUAACCCCGCAAACACAUCCUAUAUGCCGUUUUUUUUUCAGCAAAUGUGAAACCACGCUCCCAGUUCCCUGCUUCAGUAAAUCUACUAGCCUAUAUGUUCCCGUCCCCCUUCCUCUCUGUGUUUGUCAGUGUGCUCUCCUCAUCUGUCGUCUACGUUUUGAAUCCGGAGUGGUCCAGCGCUGUACCAGACUAGAAUUUUAAGCAUGUCCUUUGGUCAGGAGAAGGGGGCGGUAGAGUCGGUUGCUGUAUGCAUGAAACUUAAAAAGGCUCUAAAGGAGGACUCUAGCAUGAUAACGUGCUAUGUUAUGCGGGUUUGCACCUAAAGGAGUUGAUGUAUAAAAGAGCAUUUUUCUUAUUUGUGUUUUUACUGGUCUAAGCUGGAUGUGGAUAUGUUGCUUAUGUGGGUUAUUUGCAUAAAAUAAUUGAUUUAUUGAAAAACUGA